UGUUGAUUCCAACACAACUCUCAUCAGAUUCCUCUGAAAACUUUUCAUCAACAAAGCUUCCAUCUUUAUCACUCUUCCUCCUCUUUGAGGAUGAACCAUCAAGUGAAAGACAACUAAACAAUGGAACAUCCUUGCUACGAGUUCCGCUAGAAACACCACCAGUCCCACUUAUUGUAAUCGGGUUUUCAGUUCCCUAACCACACCUUCAAUCCUUGACAUCAAUCUCCCACUUAACUUAACCCUCAAGGUAUCCACCAUUCGCAUACUCGUCGUAUGAUCCUCACUAGGUUUUCUUACCCUCGACGCACACGUCUUCUCCGUUUCCCAGCAACGGUGUUCACUUAGCAUUCAAUCUGCUCCAUCGUUCCCCAAUGGCCAC
This 379-nucleotide long non-coding RNA is filed under the name Trifolium pratense (red clover). RNAcentral describes it as "long non-coding RNA (TPRA_LNC005216)". Lineage: Eukaryota; Viridiplantae; Streptophyta; Magnoliopsida; Fabales; Fabaceae. The record is from RNAcentral.